Molecule: long non-coding RNA, 612 nt
Filed under: Delphinapterus leucas (beluga whale)
Lineage: Eukaryota; Metazoa; Chordata; Mammalia; Artiodactyla; Monodontidae
Description: lncRNA (ENSDLEG00000000307.1)
Source: RNAcentral
AUGGGCCUGGCCUCCCAGGCUCUGAGUGCCUGUGGGCUGCGGCCAGACCUCUGUCCUGCUCCCUUCCCCCCACCCCAAUCCCCCCAGACUGCUUGUCAUCAUGUCCUACCGGGCCUGCCUGUACGGCCGUCCUGUAUCCACGAGUCCCAGGCUCUGCCUUGCCCCCAGCCUCAUGGCCGGUCUGGGGGCUGCCACCUGGCCUGUCGCUUCUGUUCUUGCGCUUCUCUUCUUGCACCUUCUCCUGUCAUUGCCAUCCCUACGAGCCACCUCCCUCCACCGAAAACCAGGCUGCAGGUCAGCCCGUCCUCGACACCCUGGCGGCGACAGUCGGCUGAAGAACUGGAUGGAAGAGGCAGGAGAGUUGCCCUGGACCAGCGCUCCUUCAGGACGGUCACCUGGCAUCUCAUGCCCACCUGGUGCCCCGUGACUCCCUCCUGGUUUGGGCUGAAGCCGUCUCGAAUCCUCCGUGGGACAGGACCGUGGACACGCCACCCCAGUACCCUCCAGCUCCAAAAUCACUUCAUCACGUCACUGGCUGCCUUGUGUCUCAUUGAGAGGCUAUGUCAAUCAUUCACCACAUCAACCUGCUAUUGUUACUAUUGCUAUGCAUAA